UAUGAACGCUGGCGGCAGGCCUAACACAUGCAAGUCGAGCGGUAACAGGGGUAGCUUGCUACCCGCUGACGAGCGGCGGACGGGUGAGUAAUGCAUAGGAAUCUGCCCGAUAGUGGGGGAUAACCUGGGGAAACCCAGGCUAAUACCGCAUACGUCCUACGGGAGAAAGGGGGCUUCGGCUCUCGCUAUUGGAUGAGCCUAUGUCGGAUUAGCUAGUUGGUGAGGUAAUGGCUCACCAAGGCAACGAUCCGUAGCUGGUCUGAGAGGAUGAUCAGCCACAUCGGGACUGAGACACGGCCCGAACUCCUACGGGAGGCAGCAGUGGGGAAUAUUGGACAAUGGGCGAAAGCCUGAUCCAGCCAUGCCGCGUGUGUGAAGAAGGCCCUCGGGUUGUAAAGCACUUUCAGCGAGGAAGAACGCCUAGUGGUUAAUACCCAUUAGGAAAGACAUCACUCGCAGAAGAAGCACCGGCUAACUCCGUGCCAGCAGCCGCGGUAAUACGGAGGGUGCAAGCGUUAAUCGGAAUUACUGGGCGUAAAGCGCGCGUAGGUGGCUUGAUAAGCCGGUUGUGAAAGCCCCGGGCUCAACCUGGGAACGGCAUCCGGAACUGUCAAGCUAGAGUGCAGGAGAGGAAGGUAGAAUUCCCGGUGUAGCGGUGAAAUGCGUAGAGAUCGGGAGGAAUACCAGUGGCGAAGGCGGCCUUCUGGACUGACACUGACACUGAGGUGCGAAAGCGUGGGUAGCAAACAGGAUUAGAUACCCUGGUAGUCCACGCCGUAAACGAUGUCGACCAGCCGUUGGGUGCCUAGCGCCCUUUGUGGCGAAGUUAA
This 830-nucleotide ribosomal RNA is filed under the name Vreelandella venusta. Its description in RNAcentral is "bacterial SSU rRNA". It matches the Rfam family "Bacterial small subunit ribosomal RNA", at positions 28 to 855 of the family's 1533-position model. The record is from RNAcentral. Lineage: Bacteria; Pseudomonadati; Pseudomonadota; Gammaproteobacteria; Oceanospirillales; Halomonadaceae.